This 126-nucleotide ribosomal RNA is filed under the name Exophiala sp. RNAcentral describes it as "partial large subunit ribosomal RNA". It matches the Rfam family "Eukaryotic large subunit ribosomal RNA", at positions 99 to 224 of the family's 3401-position model. The record is from RNAcentral. Lineage: Eukaryota; Fungi; Ascomycota; Eurotiomycetes; Chaetothyriales; Herpotrichiellaceae.
CGGCAACAGCUCAAAUUUGAAAUCUGGCCUCUUUGGGGCUCGAGUUGUAAUUUGUAGAGGAUGUUUCGGGCACCGCUCCGGUUUAAAUUUCUUGGAACAGAAUGUCAAAGAGGGUGAGAAUCCCGU